GACGAACGCUGGCGGCGUGCUUAACACAUGCAAGUCGAACGGAAAGGCCCUGCUUUUGUGGGGUGCUCGAGUGGCGAACGGGUGAGUAACACGUGAGUAACCUGCCCUUGACUUUGGGAUAACUUCAGGAAACUGGGGCUAAUACCGGAUAGGAGCUCCUGCUGCAUGGUGGGGGUUGGAAAGUUUCGGCGGUUGGGGAUGGACUCGCGGCUUAUCAGCUUGUUGGCGGGGUAGUGGCUUACCAAGGCUUUGACGGGUAGCCGGCCUGAGAGGGCGACCGGCCACAUUGGGACUGAGAUACGGCCCAGACUCCUACGGGAGGCAGCAGUGGGGAAUAUUGCACAAUGGGCGGAAGCCUGAUGCAGCAACGCCGCGUGCGGGAUGACGCCCUUCGGGUUGUAAACCGCUUUCGCCUGUGACGAAGCGUGAGUGACGGUAAUGGGUAAAGAAGCACCGGCUAACUACGUG
This 468-nucleotide ribosomal RNA is filed under the name uncultured bacterium. RNAcentral describes it as "partial 16S ribosomal RNA". It matches the Rfam family "Bacterial small subunit ribosomal RNA", at positions 28 to 507 of the family's 1533-position model. The record is from RNAcentral.